This 621-nucleotide ribosomal RNA is filed under the name Tetragnatha vermiformis. RNAcentral's name for it is "bacterial SSU rRNA". It matches the Rfam family "Eukaryotic small subunit ribosomal RNA", at positions 1135 to 1778 of the family's 1831-position model. Lineage: Eukaryota; Metazoa; Arthropoda; Arachnida; Araneae; Tetragnathidae. The record is from RNAcentral.
AGCUGAAACUUAAAGGAAUUGACGGAAGCGCACACAAGAAAUGGGGCCUGCGGCUUAAUUUGACUCAACACGGUGCAACUCACCCGGCCCGGACACAGGAAGGAUUGACAGAUUAAGAGCUCUUUCUUGAUUCUGUGACAGGUGGUGCAUGGCCGUUUCUAGUUGGUGGAGUGAUUUGUCUGCUUUAUUGCGAUAACGAGCGAGACUCUAGCCUACUAAAUAGGAACGAAGGUCUUUUUGCCUUCUUCUCUUCUUAGAGGGACAAGCGGUGUUCAGCCGCACGAAACUGAGCAAAAACAGGUCAGGAUGCCCUUAGAUGUUCGGGGCCGCACGCGCGCCACAUUGAAGGAAUCGGCGUGUGCUUUCCCUCUCCGAUAGGAGUGGGUAACCCGUUGAAACUCCUUCGUGCUAGGGAUAGGAAAUUGUAAUUGUUUUCCUUGAACGAGGAAUUCCCAGUAAGCAUCGAGUCAUCAGCUCGUGUUGAUUACGUCCCUGCGCUUUGUGCACACCGCCCGUCGCUAUUAUCGAUGAAUUUUGGAGUGAGAUCAUCGGACUGGCUAAGGUGUUGGGGUUUUACUCUGACGCCUGUGUUGGAAAGAUGACCGAACUUGAAUAUUAGAG